UUACUGGAGGUCCGAACCCACGCACGUUGAAAAGUGCGGGGAUGAGGUGUGGGUAGCGGAGAAAUUCCAAUCGAACUUGGAGAUAGCUGGUUCUCUCCGAAAUAGCUUUAGGGCUAGCCUCGAGGUAAAGAGUCAUGGAGGUAGAGCACUGUUUGGACUAGGGGCCCUUCUCGGGUUACCGAAUUCAGAUAAACUCCGAAUGCCAUGUACUUAUACUCGGGAGUCAGACUGCGAGUGAUAAGAUCCGUAGUCGAAAGGGAAACAGCCCAGACCACCAGUUAAGGUCCCCAAAUAUAUGUUAAGUGGAAAAGGAUGUGGGGUUGCUUAGACAACCAGGAUGUUGGCUUAGAAGCAGCCACCAUUGAAAGAGUGCGUAAUAGCUCACUGGUCGAGUGACCCCGCGCCGAAAAUGUACCGGGGCUAAACAUAUUACCGAAACUGUGGAUGAACCUCUUUAGAGGUUCGUGGUAGGAGAGCGUUCUAAGGGCGGUGAAGUCAGACCGGAAGGACUGGUGGAGCGCUUAGAAGUGAGAAUGCCGGUAUGAGUAGCGAAAGAAGGGUGAGAAUCCCUUCCACCGAAUAUCUAAGGUUUCCUGAGGAAGGCUCGUCCGCUCAGGGUUAGUCGGGACCUAAGCCGAGGCCGAUAGGCGUAGGCGAUGGACAACAGGUAGAGAUUCCUGUACCAGUGCUAAUUGUUUAACCGAUGGGGUGACACAGAAGGAUAGGGAAUCGCACGAAUGGAAAUGUGCGUCCAAGCAGUGAGUGUGAGAAGUAGGCAAAUCCG
Molecule: ribosomal RNA, 784 nt
Filed under: Listeria monocytogenes
Lineage: Bacteria; Bacillati; Bacillota; Bacilli; Caryophanales; Listeriaceae
Description: partial 23S ribosomal RNA
Rfam family: Bacterial large subunit ribosomal RNA
Source: RNAcentral